GGGAGACCCACCUUGAACGUGGGCAGCCCCAUCCCAUGGGCUGGGGACCCAGACCGAAAAAAGAUUCUCUUGAAAGCAGGGACUUGGCCGUGGUGGUGGCACUCAGCGGGACCCCUUCCUCACGAUCCCCAGGAGAGUUGCCAUGGUAGCGUUCAUCCUGGCCUGGGCGUUCCAGGUCUUGAAUCUUCUGCCGGCGAUCACUGGCAUGGUUCUUUAUUUCCUCCUCAUCCUUAUCUCCAGUCUUGAUGGCAUCAGCAUCGUCCCAUCCAAACUUGACCCCCGUGUGGCCGAUGCCCACAGCCAGCACGCUCUUGCGUUUGGACUUCUGACAGGCCUCAGCAAUGGACAUGUCCACUCGGAGCAAUGGGCCCUGGCCUUCUCCUUCAGCCACCACAGUGGGCCACCAAGGUUUUCAUCAUGGACUGAAGACCAGCAGCCCUUCAGGAAUCACCCAGAACUCCUGAGCUAGACUGGAACUGCAGAGACAUCCAAGCUCACACUUUGAACAACUACCAGGCUCUCUACUUUUCCAUCACGAGACGGCCAUUAUUGGACUACCUGGACCACAGCCAGGCCCUGAUGUGCCAUGGCCCACUCUGCAGGACUGUCAGGUGGCCAACAGUGACAUGCCUAUGACACCUGGUGGGCUCAGCUCAGCUGCCUUAGAACAGACCAACAGACCAGCAAAGUUCAGGCCAAAAAAGACCUGCAAUCGUUCAGCCAAGGCCCAAACAGACAUAAAAACUCUUCCACUGUGGAGAUCAGGGAAGGGAGUUUGAGUACUUCUGGCUCUGUCCUCAUAUGCUUGCUAUGUUCCCAGUGAGCACAGACAUUGCCUACUGCACAGACCAGGGAUAAUGUAAUGAAAUGGUGGGCACAGACCCACCUAGAUGGACUGCUCCAGGGCAUUUCCUGUGGGAGCCCUCACCUUCAGCACCGUGGACAGAGCCUUAACCUCCUGGUUACCAGGACAAACCUGGAACUCUUUAAGAAGGAAUCACAGAGCACCUAUGCAUAUCAGCGGUCAGCUCAGAGGAUGCCUCUCUUGCCAAACAGAUGCCACUACAACAAGUUUAAGCAGCGUGUCCCUCAGCUGUCAGGUUAGCAAGAAGUUAGCAGAGCUGUGCUAUGCUGGAGACCCAGGGAUCAGCCAGUGCCCAAGCCUCAUUGUCAGGCGUACCCAGAACAGCUAUGCUUAGCCUUUCCCUAAAGGCUCACUGUGGUGCUCUACCCUCAUCACUAGACCAGUCCUGGUUGUGGGAGCCUUUCUGGUUGCUCCCCUGGCCACACCCACCUCGGCCCCUAUUGUGACAGCAAGAGGAGGCAGAGGGAGCCUCUUUACAGAAGACAGGUUGAAAAAUCUAUUUCCUCUCUGCCACUGGUGGAAAUAAGAAAGCUGUAUUCGGUCCUGGGCUGAUGUGGCACUGCCUGUCGGCCACAGGGAAGGGAAGCAGAGAAACGGACUGGAAGCUGGACCCAAGUGAAUAUCGAACCACACGGAGCUCCUUAGGAGCAGAGCAAGGUAAAGCAACAGCUGCAGAAGGCUCUCCCGAUAAAAGCAAAACUCCAUCUGUGGGUAGGCGGCAGGUGUCACAAAAGGCGCGUUAAAAAUACACACAGGAGGUCUGUGGACUGGCUGAGUGGAUCAAAGCACUGACUUGCAAGGCUGACGCCACAGGAGUUCAAUCUCAAAAACCCACUGUCAAGGUGAAAGGAGAGAGGACAGACUGCUUAAAUUUGUCUUCUGACCUCCACACAUUUGCUGUGGCAUGCACAUGCGUGUGCACACACACACACUCUCAUACAUACACACACACUUUACUACUACUACUAAUAAUAAUUUAAAAGCUAAGAUGAUCAGACUAAUAUUAGAGAUACAGGAACAAUUGGAAAAAGCUGGGUUAAAAUAAACCAAGAAAAAAAAGAUUGCUAAUGAAAUAAAAUGGCAAAGGAGAAAUUGAAGCAGAAUCUGUACUAGGAGAGCAGCGGUGAGGGGGGAAGGCAGGGAUAUGUGGAGACCUACACAGAAUUUCUAGAAACGGAAAACUGAGCAGGUGUGUUGACAAAAGCCUGCAGUCUUGGGACUUGGGAGGUGGAGGCAGGAGGCUCAAGAGCUGAGAGGUCCAUCUCAGUUACAUAGCAAGUUGGAGGCCAGCCUAGGCUACACGGGACCCCCAUCUCAAAGAAAAGAAUGGGGGGAGGGAGAAAGUGAGUGAGUCUCUUGGGAUGCCUUAUGCAGCAGGCAAGGCACGCCUGAGGAGAGAGCCAGCUCACCAGCCAACACAACCAGUAUGGUUACUCAGGACUAGGAAGACAUAAAAGACAAGACAGGCAGAUGGAGAGGGAUAAGGAGAGCAAGGACAGUCAGUGGUCCAGUUACAAGCUUCAGGAGGAAGUCGGAAUGAGAAAAGCACAAUUAAGCAAUGGUGACUGCAAUCCACCGCGAAGACAAACGGCAGCAGUGGAAGGAAGACUUCAGGCGGUGCUGUCUGGGCACUGGCUGUCCCUGAAGGCAUGAAUGCCUGCCUACAGGCCAUUCCUUCUGUUUAGGGCAAUUGAGGCUGAGUCUCUGCUGUUUGAAACAGAAAGGCCAGAGCGAAGUUCUGUAGAGCAAGGGGGAUUGCACUGGCCACCACUGACCCUCUGCUCCCCGCUAUUUUAAAGCAUGACCAUUUUAUUGGAGGUUGAGAGAAAAAUACAGGACAGGCAAGAUGUAAAUCUUGGCAGCUGCCUGGAAGAGGGAGAGAGAAACCCUUCCCAUCUCUUGAGUUAACACCAACAAUAGAAGUCAGCAAGCAGCUCUAUGUGGGGUCCAUACAGCUUUCAGAAAAACAAACAAACAAACAAAAAACAAGAAAGCUCAGAGUGUAAGGGCUGGGCACACUUAGGAUUUUGCCCAAAGAUUAGAAAAAAAGGGUAAAGGUGACUAGUUAUGUUUCUGAGUUAGACUCUGCGCUAACUUGAAGUCUCAAGAUGGUGUGGAAGAGUUAUCCUGCCGCUCAGCUGCUACGAGCUUGCCUUUCCACCAUCAACUUUGCGUAUUCAUCGUUGCUCACAAGCAUCCCCUGGCUUUGGAGCCUGAGUUCUUGAGUGAAGCCAGAGAUGCCAAGGAAUUCACAGCCACCAGGGCUGUCCCGGAUGAACAAUGGAUCAGUGGUGUUAUACCGAACCCAGCUCCCUCGUCCUUUGAGCGUGGUACAUCCCUGGCCUUUUCUAGUCUGGUACGGUCUCUCAGUGGCAGAGUGGAUGAUGUAGAUACAGGACCUGCCUUCCCUUCCUCGCACACUGUCUGCUUUGUCUGCUGAGGGGCCUUGAUUGUCCAGAUAAACAAGCAAUCCUGGCUUCAGCCUCAGCAUGUGGGGAAACUGAUACGGACAGAAUGUGGCCCUGUGCCUUUGGUUUUUACACUUGGAGCUCCAUCUCUGUCACCCAAUAAGGCCCAUUCUCAUACUCAGACCUCCUUCCGGAAUCUCAGGCAACUCAUUUGAUUUUUUUCUUCCACCCAAGCUUAAAAAUAAGCAAGGCUCGUAUCCUAGAUUUUCAGAAAGGAAGCUAUGAAUGACACACACAGGAGUGUCUGCCUUGUGAGAUAAAAUGCUGUGCAUUGUGGCUGCCUUUCAUCUGGAAUUAAUUUUUCUUCCCCCACCUGGACAGAGAAGGACGUUAAUAUAAACCAAGUCUUGCUCGAAGGACCGAUAGUGGGACUGAAACUUCAGUCUGGUCAGGGCCAAUUCCAUCAGCUCUGUCUUGUGAUUGAGAUCUGGUCCUGCUAUCAUCUCAUUACAGCAAGGCUGGAAGCCUCCCUGGAGAAUCCAACACACGUCUCCCAAGACGAUAAAUGCCAAGUGACUUCAAAUAACACGUGGCCACCAGUGAUUUAGGCCCUGCUUCUUUAGAGAGCCAUCCUUGCAAACUGAAGAUGCUCUAUCUAUGAGUCUCCUGCAUCUGGCCUGGGCAUGCAAUUACUGCUGGUUGAUGAAGACAGAUGGGUCAUGUUGGAUGUGGAUAGUGGUUUUUAAUCCUAUAUCCUAGAGGCUAUGCUGCCUGUCCAUUCCAAUCCAUGUUCCAUUUUAGCAAAGAGUUUCCAUAUUUUUGACUUUUUUUCUUGUUCUUUUGACCCUCAUCUUUUUUCUAACAUGAAGAUCCGAGGUUGAUAUUAAGUGUCUUCUUCAGUGACUCUCCACCUUGAUACAGGGUCUGACUUAACCAGCAACCCUCUGGAAUCCUAUUGUCUCCACCUCUCCACAACUGGGCUGCAAGCGUGUAACAAUUUUUUACUCUCAUUUACAAACCGUUACACACUGUCAAUUCCUGCCUUCAGGGAGAAGGGCGGAGGAGCCAUCACUGCAGACUGGACAAGGCUGGAAGGCACUUCCAGUCUCUCUAGUUGAUGUUCGGGACCAAAGUGAGGUAGCAACUGUCUACUGUGCUGGACAGGAUGGCUUGUUUGUUUUUUUGCUUUUGUUU
Non-coding RNA from Myodes glareolus (Bank vole), 4467 nucleotides. Lineage: Eukaryota; Metazoa; Chordata; Mammalia; Rodentia; Cricetidae. The record is from RefSeq and is a predicted model, not a curated record.